Molecule: ribosomal RNA, 274 nt
Filed under: uncultured bacterium
Lineage: Bacteria
Description: partial 16S ribosomal RNA
Rfam family: Bacterial small subunit ribosomal RNA
Source: RNAcentral
AUACGGAGGAUCCAAGCGUUAUCCGGAAUCAUUGGGUUUAAAGGGUCCGUAGGCGGGUUUGUAAGUCAGUGGUGAAAGUUUUCGGCUCAACCGGAAAAUUGCCAUUGAUACUGCAAGUCUUGAAUCAUGAUGAAGUGGUUAGAAUGUGUAGUGUAGCGGUGAAAUGCAUAGAUAUUACACAGAAUACCGAUUGCGAAGGCAGAUCACUAAUAAUGUAUUGACGCUAAGGGACGAAAGCGUGGGUAGCGAACAGGAUUAGAAACCCUAGUAGUCC